This 498-nucleotide unclassified non-coding RNA is filed under the name uncultured Glomus. Its description in RNAcentral is "SSU rRNA". It matches the Rfam family "Eukaryotic small subunit ribosomal RNA", at positions 591 to 1092 of the family's 1831-position model. The record is from RNAcentral. Lineage: Eukaryota; Fungi; Glomeromycota; Glomeromycetes; Glomerales; Glomeraceae.
CCAAUAGCGUAUAUUAAAGUUGUUGCAGUUAAAAAGCUCGUAGUUGAAUUUCGGGAUCAGUACGCUGGUCGUGCCUUCGGUAUGUACUGGUGUUACUGGUUCCUACCUUCUGACGAACCGUCAUGUCAUUAAUUUGGUGUGGCGGGAAAUCAGGACUGUUACUUUGAAAAAAUUAGAGUGUUUAAAGCAGGCUCGCGCUUGAAUACAUUAGCAUGAAAUAAUGAAAUAGGACGUUCGAUCCUAUUUUGUUGGUUUCUAGGAUUGACGUAAUGAUUAAUAGGGAUAGGUGGGGGCAUUAGUAUUCAAUUGUCAGAGGUGAAAUUCUUGGAUUUAUUGAAGACUAACUACUGCGAAAGCAUUUGCCAAGGAUGUUUUCAUUAAUCAAGAACGAAAGUUAGGGGAUCGAAGACGAUCAGAUACCGUCGUAGUCUUAACCAUAAACUAUGCCGACUAGGGAUCGGAUGAUGUUAUUUUUAAUGACUCAUUCGGCGCCUUACG